UACGUAGGGGGCGAGCGUUGUCCGGAUUUAUUGGGCGUAAAGAGCGUGUAGGCGGCCAGGUAGGUCGGCUGUGAAAACUCGAGGCUCAACCUCGAGACGUCGGCGGAAACCAUCUGGCUAGAGUCCGGAAGAGGAGAGUGGAAUUCCUGGUGCAGCGGUGAAAUGCGCAGAUAUCAGGAAGAACACCCGUGGCGAAGGCGGCUCUCUGGGACGGUACUGACGCUGAGACGCGAAAGCGUGGGGAGCGAACAGG
Molecule: ribosomal RNA, 253 nt
Filed under: uncultured bacterium
Lineage: Bacteria
Description: partial 16S ribosomal RNA
Rfam family: Bacterial small subunit ribosomal RNA
Source: RNAcentral